Molecule: long non-coding RNA, 1479 nt
Filed under: Bos indicus x Bos taurus (hybrid cattle)
Lineage: Eukaryota; Metazoa; Chordata; Mammalia; Artiodactyla; Bovidae
Description: lncRNA (ENSBIXG00000004518.1)
Source: RNAcentral
CUAACUCAAUGAAACUAAGCCAUGCCCGUGGGGCCACCCAAGACGGGUGGGUCAUGGUGGAGAGGGCUGACAGAAUGUGGUCCACUGGAGAAGGGAAUGGCAAACUACUUCAGUAUUCUUGCCUUGAGAACUCCAUGAACAGUAUGAAAAGGAUCUGGCUUAGAAUCCAAAAUCCAGUUACAUGUGGCAGAAAUGGAGUCUAACCAAGGAAUGGGGUGGUAGGGACUCUGUGUCUCAAUGGAAUUUGGUGAAUCACUUCAUUUUGAUAGCCUCAGAAACAAAGAAACUGUCUCUGCCAAAGAUGAUGGUAGCUAUCACAAAGCAUUAACACAGAGUUGGUUAAAAUGGGGUUGGAUGAAAUAUUAACAAAGUCUUUAAAGUAUGGUGUCUGGUAUUCAGUACAUUUAAAUUCCUUUUCCUUUUUGUCUGAACUCAACCCCUGUAGUCUUGCCUUUCCACACAAUGACUAAGGCAGUGUGUAAUCACUGUGUACACCUCACCAUUCUUAGGUUCCAGAAGAUAAAUAGAGAAGUACAAGAUGCCAUCCUUCCUUUAAACAAGUUUCAAUGAAGGAAAGGGCCUCUUCGACUGGCAGAGCGAUGCCUGCAACAUCAGCUGCUGUGUGGGUCUGUGCCUGGUGCCUGGCAAGCUGCACAAGCAGCGCAGCACCAACGUCAAGAACUGACGCCUCCCCGUGUUCAGAGAGGACUUCUUUGAUGGCCUGGGGCCAGUCAGUGUGAGGAAGCUGGCAUUCAGGAUCAACGUGGUGAACAAGGGCAGCAGUCUCAAGCGGGACAUGCUGCUGGGGAAGAAGGAGCUGCCCCUGACCUCCACCGCUGCCCUUCUUGUAGAGGCCCCGCUCCCCUCCGGAUCCUGCAGGGAAGCCCUGAUGCUGAGGCUCUUGUUGGGGAUGUCCUGGGUCAUACUCUUUUCCAGGGGUUACUUUUAAUGGAAGAGAAGAAAGGGGGCUGCUGGGGGAAAAGGAAGGGCCAGCUUGCCGGGCUGAGUCCCUCUGGACCCCAAGUUCCUUGCCACCACUGCCGCUGCUCACCCCUUCCGGAGUUCUCGAACCUGAGCCAGGAGGUAGCAGAGUCCAAUCAUACACCCAGAGGCUGCCUGUCCUGGGGCCCAGCCAGAUCUUCUCUGCGGUACUAUCUACCACAUUUUUGGUGGUUGGCUCAAGCACUGCCAGGACAGCCUGUAUUCACUGAGAUAGUAAGGUCAAGGCUUCAAAAAUACCAAAGGUAUGAUGCAAUUCACCUAGCGGCUUGGUGAAAGAAGACCCAGUCAAAACCAAAGCUGAACUAAUAUUAAAUCAAUCAGGAGUGAUGCUUGGCUUUACAAUAGGAUUCCCUUAAAUAAUAUUCCUGUAUUGUGCUUAAAUAUUUGUGGUAGGAGUUGUAAAUUAACAAUAUGAAACACUAUUACAACUUGUAGGUGAACAAUAAAUAUCACAGCUGAGUGAAUUAUUGACUUUUU